RNAcentral lists this ribosomal RNA (435 nucleotides) under uncultured Flavobacterium sp. Its description in RNAcentral is "bacterial SSU rRNA". It matches the Rfam family "Bacterial small subunit ribosomal RNA", at positions 358 to 790 of the family's 1533-position model. The record is from RNAcentral. Lineage: Bacteria; Pseudomonadati; Bacteroidota; Flavobacteriia; Flavobacteriales; Flavobacteriaceae.
GGAAUAUUGGACAAUGGGCGCAAGCCUGAUCCAGCCAUGCCGCGUGCAGGAUGACGGUCCUAUGGAUUGUAAACUGCUUUUAUACGAGAAGAAACACUACUUCGUGAAGUAGCUUGACGGUAUCGUAAGAAUAAGGAUCGGCUAACUCCGUGCCAGCAGCCGCGGUAAUACGGAGGAUCCAAGCGUUAUCCGGAAUCAUUGGGUUUAAAGGGUCCGUAGGCGGUUUAAUAAGUCAGUGGUGAAAGCCCAUCGCUCAACGGUGGAACGGCCAUUGAUACUGUUAGACUUGAAUUAUUAGGAAGUAACUAGAAUAUGUAGUGUAGCGGUGAAAUGCUUAGAGAUUACAUGGAAUACCAAUUGCGAAGGCAGGUUACUACUAAUUGAUUGACGCUGAUGGACGAAAGCGUGGGUAGCGAACAGGAUUAGAUACCCUUG